GCCGGCCUACGGGAGGCAGCAGUGGGGAAUAUUGCACAAUGGGGGGAACCCUGAUGCAGCGACGCCGCGUGAGUGAAGAAGUAUUUCGGUACGUAAAGCUCUAUCAGCAGGGAAGAAAAAAGGACGGUACCUGAGUAAGAAGCCCCGGCUAACUACGUGCCAGCAGCCGCGGUAAUACGUAGGGGGCAAGCGUUAUCCGGAAUUACUGGGUGUAAAGGGAGCGUAGACGGUUAUGUAAGUCUGGAGUGAACGCCCGGGGCCCAACCCCGGGACUGCUUUGGAAACUGUGUAACUGGAGUACAGGG
Molecule: ribosomal RNA, 305 nt
Filed under: uncultured bacterium
Lineage: Bacteria
Description: bacterial SSU rRNA
Rfam family: Bacterial small subunit ribosomal RNA
Source: RNAcentral